UUUUCUUUGACCUGCAGAAUGCAGCAUAAAUGACAAUGUGCCACCUCUGGGCAUCUUGGAACCCUGCCGUCCCCAUGUAAACAAGCCUGGGCCAGCCUUCAGGAUGAUGAGAGACAUGUGGUCUAGUCACAUGUCCUAGCUGGCAGCCAGUCAACAGUCAGAUAUGGGAAUGAGACCACCCCGGACUAGCCAGCUUUGAGCCAAGCCAACACCUGAUCCUCAAUGUGCAAGACCAGCUGAGACACUUUUUCUGCAGUGUCAACAUCAUCUUCAUCAUUACUAUUACUACAAUCACCUUGAUUCAGAACCCAUCAGUCAAUGAAUGAACAACUGGAGCCUCACUAUUGGUGUGAAUAAUUUCUUUGAUAUCCACUUCUUCCAGCUUGCUGAUAGACUCUGAAGAUGGCAGUUGCAGCCAUCUUGUGACUAGAAGAAGAGGAAGCUCCAUACUCAGGGGCUCCAGAACACUAGAGUCACAGUCCUGAGACACAUACCUGGAGGCUGCCCUGCGUGUGGACUUCGUCUCCCUCUCAUGCCUAGCCGAAGCUGGACUGUACUGCUGCCAUCUCGGCUCACUGCAACCUCCCUGCCUGAUUCUCCUGCCUCAGCCCGCCGCGUGCCUGCGAUUGCAGCCGCGCACCGCCACGCCUGACUGGUUUUCGUACUUUUUUGGUGGAGAUGGGGUUUCGCUGUGUUGGCCGGGCUGGUC
This 709-nucleotide long non-coding RNA is filed under the name Homo sapiens (human). RNAcentral describes it as "HSALNT0180002". Lineage: Eukaryota; Metazoa; Chordata; Mammalia; Primates; Hominidae. The record is from RNAcentral.